UGUUUAAUGACUAAGGAAGGUCCCUGUUGCCCCCAGGGGCUGUGAGCAACACCAUGGCUGCCCCAGGGCUGGCCAAUUGGGCAGAUGCCCAGGGGCUGAGAACA
Small nucleolar RNA from Gorilla gorilla gorilla (western lowland gorilla), 104 nucleotides. Lineage: Eukaryota; Metazoa; Chordata; Mammalia; Primates; Hominidae. The record is from Ensembl.